Molecule: ribosomal RNA, 1677 nt
Filed under: Klebsiella variicola
Lineage: Bacteria; Pseudomonadati; Pseudomonadota; Gammaproteobacteria; Enterobacterales; Enterobacteriaceae
Also listed under: 1 other name
Description: bacterial LSU rRNA
Rfam family: Bacterial large subunit ribosomal RNA
Source: RNAcentral
UGCUGGAGGUAUCAGAAGUGCGAAUGCUGACAUAAGUAACGAUAAAGCGGGUGAAAAGCCCGCUCGCCGGAAGACCAAGGGUUCCUGUCCAACGUUAAUCGGGGCAGGGUGAGUCGACCCCUAAGGCGAGGCCGAAAGGCGUAGUCGAUGGGAAACAGGUUAAUAUUCCUGUACUUGGUGUUACUGCGAAGGGGGGACGGAGAAGGCUAUGUUAGCCGGGCGACGGUUGUCCCGGUUUAAGCAUGUAGGCGGAGGUUCCAGGUAAAUCCGGUACCUUUUAACGCUGAGGUGUGAUGACGAGGCACUACGGUGCUGAAGUAACAAAUGCCCUGCUUCCAGGAAAAGCCUCUAAGCAUCAGGUAACAUCAAAUCGUACCCCAAACCGACACAGGUGGUCAGGUAGAGAAUACCAAGGCGCUUGAGAGAACUCGGGUGAAGGAACUAGGCAAAAUGGUGCCGUAACUUCGGGAGAAGGCACGCUGGUGUGUAGGUGAAGUCCCUGCGGAUGGAGCUGAGACCAGUCGAAGAUACCAGCUGGCUGCAACUGUUUAUUAAAAACACAGCACUGUGCAAACACGAAAGUGGACGUAUACGGUGUGACGCCUGCCCGGUGCCGGAAGGUUAAUUGAUGGGGUUAUCCGUAAGGAGAAGCUCUUGAUCGAAGCCCCGGUAAACGGCGGCCGUAACUAUAACGGUCCUAAGGUAGCGAAAUUCCUUGUCGGGUAAGUUCCGACCUGCACGAAUGGCGUAAUGAUGGCCAGGCUGUCUCCACCCGAGACUCAGUGAAAUUGAACUCGCUGUGAAGAUGCAGUGUACCCGCGGCAAGACGGAAAGACCCCGUGAACCUUUACUAUAGCUUGACACUGAACAUUGAGCCUUGAUGUGUAGGAUAGGUGGGAGGCUUUGAAGCGUGGACGCCAGUCUGCGUGGAGCCAACCUUGAAAUACCACCCUUUAAUGUUUGAUGUUCUAACGUAGGCCCCUGACCGGGGUUGCGGACAGUGUCUGGUGGGUAGUUUGACUGGGGCGGUCUCCUCCCAAAGAGUAACGGAGGAGCACGAAGGUUAGCUAAUCCUGGUCGGACAUCAGGAGGUUAGUGCAAUGGCAUAAGCUAGCUUGACUGCGAGCGUGACGGCGCGAGCAGGUGCGAAAGCAGGUCAUAGUGAUCCGGUGGUUCUGAAUGGAAGGGCCAUCGCUCAACGGAUAAAAGGUACUCCGGGGAUAACAGGCUGAUACCGCCCAAGAGUUCAUAUCGACGGCGGUGUUUGGCACCUCGAUGUCGGCUCAUCACAUCCUGGGGCUGAAGUAGGUCCCAAGGGUAUGGCUGUUCGCCAUUUAAAGUGGUACGCGAGCUGGGUUUAGAACGUCGUGAGACAGUUCGGUCCCUAUCUGCCGUGGGCGCUGGAGAAUUGAGGGGGGCUGCUCCUAGUACGAGAGGACCGGAGUGGACGCAUCACUGGUGUUCGGGUUGUCAUGCCAAUGGCACUGCCCGGUAGCUAAAUGCGGAAGAGAUAAGUGCUGAAAGCAUCUAAGCACGAAACUUGCCCCGAGAUGAGUUCUCCCUGAGACUUUAAGUCUCCUGAAGGAACGUUGAAGACGACGACGUUGAUAGGCCGGGUGUGUAAGCGCAGCGAUGCGUUGAGCUAACCGGUACUAAUGAACCGUGAGGCUUAACCUU